This 428-nucleotide ribosomal RNA is filed under the name uncultured prokaryote. RNAcentral's name for it is "bacterial SSU rRNA". It matches the Rfam family "Bacterial small subunit ribosomal RNA", at positions 355 to 774 of the family's 1533-position model. The record is from RNAcentral.
UGGGGAAUCUUCCGCAAUGGACGAAAGUCUGACGGAGCAACGCCGCGUGAGUGAAGAAGGUUUUCGGAUCGUAAAACUCUGUUUUCAGGGACGAAUGUGCAGCUUGUAAAUAAUGAGUUGUAAUGACGGUACCUGAGUAGAAAGCCACGGCUAACUACGUGCCAGCAGCCGCGGUAAUACGUAGGUGGCAAGCGUUGUCCGGAAUUAUUGGGCGUAAAGCGCGCGCAGGUGGGAUAUUAAGUCUGGUGUUAAAGUUCGGGGCUCAACCCCGUGAAGCAUUUGGAAACUGAUAUUCUUGAGUGCAGGAGAGGAAAGUUGAAUUCCUAGUGUAGCGGUGAAAUGCGUAGAUAUUAGGAGGAACACCAGUGGCGAAGGCGACUUUCUGGACUGUGUCUGACACUGAGGCGCGAAAGCCAGGGUAGUGAACG